CAAUUCUUAUCUGAUUGGCAAGAGCACACUUCUGCAGAUGGGAGAAGAUAUUACUACAACAAGAGGACAAGGCAAUCAAGUUGGGAGAAACCUUUGGAAUUGAUGUCACCUAUUGAGAGAGCUGAUGCAUCGACUGUUUGGAAA
Molecule: long non-coding RNA, 144 nt
Organism: Vigna radiata var. radiata (mung bean)
Lineage: Eukaryota; Viridiplantae; Streptophyta; Magnoliopsida; Fabales; Fabaceae
Exons: 3
Source: RefSeq, a predicted model, not a curated record